CUCAGAAAUAUCCUUCAUCUAAUCUUUCUUUUUAUUAUUUUUCCCUACCCUAGGACGAUUGAAGUGUUUUGGUUUGGUUGGAAGACUGUACUAGAUUGCCAGAGGGAAUUCAGAGAAAACCAGAAUACUUUCCCAAAGAGAAGGCAAUCAUUAAAAAUUUGACCACCUGCAACUGGAAAGACAUCAAUCAGAUCUCAUUUGGAUUGCCAUCCUUGGGCUUCUCCACUGCAACUCAGAGAGUCCUGUGCCAUUCCUGCUUUGGGGACAUGGGCAG
RNAcentral lists this long non-coding RNA (274 nucleotides) under Zonotrichia albicollis (white-throated sparrow). Its description in RNAcentral is "lncRNA (ENSZALG00000013269.1)". Lineage: Eukaryota; Metazoa; Chordata; Aves; Passeriformes; Passerellidae. The record is from RNAcentral.